This 250-nucleotide long non-coding RNA is filed under the name Elaeis guineensis (African oil palm). Its description in RNAcentral is "long non-coding RNA (EGUI_LNC073888)". The record is from RNAcentral. Lineage: Eukaryota; Viridiplantae; Streptophyta; Magnoliopsida; Arecales; Arecaceae.
GUGUGGAACUCGUGAUCAGAGAAUCUUGAUUCUUGAUCACAGAGUCUCAGACAUGUAGGACUCAGAGUCCCUAAGCAUUAGGACUCUUGGUCGAAGAGUCUCAGUCCAGUGGGACUCUUCACCAGCCAUCAGAUCAGAUAGGAACUUCUAAUGUGUGUGACCCCACAGGUUCGAACCUAAGCUAGUAGCACGGGAAUAAAUUUUUGUACUAAUCAAAGUGACCAUCUAGCAAUGGUACCUAACAUCCGGA